Molecule: long non-coding RNA, 208 nt
Organism: Bubalus bubalis (water buffalo)
Lineage: Eukaryota; Metazoa; Chordata; Mammalia; Artiodactyla; Bovidae
Exons: 3
Source: RefSeq, a predicted model, not a curated record
GCUUUACUAGAAGCUCAUCUAUUAUUUCUUGCUGAUGUUGAAGUUUAUAAAAUGGACCUUUGAGUCUUCGGAAGAGCUAGUUUUCAGAUGAGAAAAUUGAAAUUCAAAGAGGAUGAAUGCUAACUCCAAAGAUCCAUGGCAAGUAUGAGAGCCUAUGGACUAUAGCCUGCCAGACUCCUCUGUCCAUGGGAUUCUCCAAGCAAGAAAA